UUCUUUCAUAUCAAUAAUUGCACCAAUCGUUCUAAGGAAAGGUCUACCAAGAAUAAUAGGACAUGUAGGAUUGCAAUCUAUAUCAAGAAUGAUGAAAUCUACGGGCACAUAAUUCCUAUUUGCAACAAUAAGAACAUCAUUAAUCCUUCCCAUAGGUUUCUUAAUGGUGGAAUCCGCAAGAUGCAAAUUUAAAGAACAAUCAUCAAAUUCAC
Molecule: ribosomal RNA, 212 nt
Filed under: Triticum aestivum (bread wheat)
Lineage: Eukaryota; Viridiplantae; Streptophyta; Magnoliopsida; Poales; Poaceae
Description: partial small subunit ribosomal RNA
Source: RNAcentral